GACGAACGCUGGCGGCGUGCUUAACACAUGCAAGUCGAACGGAAAGGCCCUGCUUGCAGGGUACUCGAGUGGCGAACGGGUGAGUAACACGUGGGUGAUCUGCCCUGCACUUCGGGAUAAGCCUGGGAAACUGGGUCUAAUACCGGAUAGGAGCCAUUUUUAGUGUGAUGGUUGGAAAGUUUUUUCGGUAUAGGAUGAGCUCGCGGCCUAUCAGCUUGUUGGUGGGGUAAUGGCCUACCAAGGCGGCGACGGGUAGCCGGCCUGAGAGGGUGGACGGCCACAUUGGGACUGAGAUACGGCCCAGACUCCUACGGGAGGCAGCAGUGGGGAAUAUUGCACAAUGGGCGCAAGCCUGAUGCAGCGACGCCGCGUGGGGGAUGACGGCCUUCGGGUUGUAAACUCCUUUCGCUAGGGACGAAGCUUUUUGUGACGGUACCUAGAUAAGAAGCACCGGCUAACUACGU
Molecule: ribosomal RNA, 464 nt
Filed under: uncultured bacterium
Lineage: Bacteria
Description: partial 16S ribosomal RNA
Rfam family: Bacterial small subunit ribosomal RNA
Source: RNAcentral